UCUCUCUCUCUCUCUCUCUCUCUCUCUCGAUCCGUUAGGGUUUCGAUUUUUGUUCUCUCUUUGAAUCCGUUCGGGUUGUGGAUUCUGAUUUCUCCCUCUCGAUCGCUCUCUCUGGUGAUCUUGCUCUCGUCUGAAUCUGACACUCUCGUCGCGAAUCGCGUCCUUCCGGAGCUUGAGGUGCAGGGAUUCGGAACUGCGCCGAGUUUGGAGGUCUCAACUCGGAUCCGAGGGCAGAACCAAAGACUAGAUCUUCUGGUGUUCACGAAGACUAGAUCACUCGAUCAAACAUCAAAGUUUCACAAACAAGGUUUAGGUUUAGAUGGGUAGACCCGAAGUGGACGUGAUCCCCGUGCCUGAAAAUCUCAAGACUCUAUGGGAGAAUCUCGAUCCAAGACAUCAAGACUACGUGGAAAAGCGCAUAGGCUUCCUCCCAACUUUAUUAAAAGUCGAACCACGUAUUGCAAUGGUCAAAGCAUUGGCUCAUUUUUGGAAUCCUGUGACUUCUACUUUCGUGUUUAAUCAAUAUGAAUUAACCCCUACAAUUGAGGAGUUCCAGAAAGCCAUUGGAUUAGGUAAAGCUUCUUUAGGUUUCGUCACUCCUUCUAUUGGCCAAAAUCCAAUCUCUCUUCUAAGUCAAUUCCUCAAUAUCCCUUAUGAUAAAAUUGAGGCUAUUCUUAUUGGAAAUUUUCAUGCCAUGCCUUAUAAUUUCCUUGAACAACAUUUCCUUAGCCUUAAGCCUAAAUCUGGGAACCAAAUUCCUCGUGUCUUCCUACUCAUAUUCUUUGGCUUUGUGAUAUUUCCAUAUACCCGAAAAACAAUGGAUCCUUUAGUCGCUCAUAUUGUCAACCAAGUGUGCGCAUUUAAUUGUUUCACACACAUGAUUCUUGCCGAAACUUUUGUGUCUCUUAAUCAGUUCAAAGCAAAUGGUCGAGGAACUUUUAAAGCCCCAUUAGGACUUCUCCAAAUUUGACUCUUUUCACAUAUCAAAGAGUUUGCCCCUCACAUGAAGGUUCUUGAUGUCACAAAAUAUCAUCAUCCAAUUCUUAGAUUUUCCCAAAGAAACGAAUCCUUUCCAUCAUGGUCUUUCUCUAGGUGGUUCCAUUUCCUCAAAAGCCUCAACCCUAGCUUAAUUCAAUGGCAUGUUCGAUGGCUUGGGAAUCCGAGGUGCGCCUUUUUAGUGGAGUUGACCAUCCACUCCCCCUCGUGGGGCUGACUGGUUUAACGUCAUAUUACCCUUUAAGGGUACUCCGCCAAUAUCGCGCGCUUCAAACGAUCCCGCUAAUCCUCAAGCUAGGGUUAUAUCGUAUUGAUUAUCACGAUAAAGUCAUCAAGGAAAACCAAAUAGACAUAUAAUACGCUUGAUUUGGCAAUUGUUUGCCCUGUCAUAUGUUUGUUGCAAAAUAGAAGUCAAUGUCUUCAUGAAUUCUGCUCCUCAUAUCUGAAAGUCUGCUGUCCCAGAAUGAUUUUUAUAAAAUGGUGUGUUCUCAAUCUGACAAUAAGGUCAUAUAGCUUUAAUGCUUGUCAUGUUAUACGUUUCA
This is a long non-coding RNA of Eucalyptus grandis, 1538 nucleotides long. RefSeq lists it as uncharacterized. The record is from RefSeq and is a predicted model, not a curated record. The transcript is spliced from 2 exons. Lineage: Eukaryota; Viridiplantae; Streptophyta; Magnoliopsida; Myrtales; Myrtaceae.